Non-coding RNA from Misgurnus anguillicaudatus (oriental weatherfish), 2231 nucleotides. The record is from RefSeq and is a predicted model, not a curated record. Lineage: Eukaryota; Metazoa; Chordata; Actinopteri; Cypriniformes; Cobitidae.
ACAAUCAGUUCUUCGCCCCGCGCAGCCGGCAUUUUGUCCACCGUUCAGAGCAGCACGUUUCACACGUGGAAAACGCUAAGACACGAAAAAUAUUUGAAGAUUUGAAGAGAAGCCAAUUUGCUGAGUAAUAAGCAUGUUGGUGACGGUGGCAUGCAAAGGAUCUAAGAAGUAUGUGACAGUGACAGACACUGAUGGAGAAUAUAACUAUCAUCAGUUUCACAAGGAAGUGAUUAAAAGAUUCGGCCUGCCAAUUGAUGUAGACGUGAAGUACAAGGAUUCAACGGGGACUGAGGUUGAUGCAGACAUAUUCAAUGAACUCCUACAGCAAGGCAGUGUUACUCUUACAGCCUGCUUGGAUGACGAUAUGUCGGAUGUUUCAAUGUCUUCUGAUACAUUGUUUUCUUCUAAUACAUCCACCUUGAUUAUUGAUGAUCCCCCAACAAAGAAAGCAAGACUGACGAAUGACUGUACAGAUAAACAAGCAGCAAAAAAUAUGGUGAAUAUGGUUCUGAAGUCAAAACCUGGUGGAGACAAAAUUAUGUAUGAAUACGAUAAAACCAAAACCUUGUCAGACAGCACCCGCAGACAGUUAGUGAACAUGCUUGUUGCUGAUAUGGUUGAAGUACAUGGAAGGACACCUCCACAGACUGUGCGAACCAAGUAUGCUCUUGGUAUUAUUUCUUUGUUUCCCUACUUGGAGGACCCAUAGUCUAAAAAUGGAUAUGAGCAUUUCUAUGAUGCAUCAAGUGGUACUGGUUACCUGGCCUGGCGCUUAAAGACAGUUCAGAGAAAUACUCAAAUUGGUGAAAAACACAGACCUGAGUUACCUGGCACCAGCAGUGGCCCAUUAUCUGAGAGAGAACCAUUUUCAACCACAGAACAGCUGACCGGUGAUGAGUGCAGAGAGGCAAUAUCAGUUAUGAAACACACGUCAGAUGAAAAAGUAGUAAAAGAAAAAAUGAAGGCAACUUUCCAAUACAGACAGUCUAUUGUUCGAAAUCCUGAGAAGUCCCAUGAUGUCUUGGACAUGUUCCCUAGGUUCCUGGACACACCUGGCCUUAUUGAACAGGAUUUCUCAUUGCUGUUUGGAGAAGAGAUCUCUGGAAAGUUUCUGGCAAAAUGGUCAACCUUCUUCCAACCCAAAGUAAUCAGUGAAUCCAAAGGAUUGGCCCCUAACCACCACAUUGAAGAACUUGUUAAACAUACUCAGCCUGAACUUGGUGACGACUCGACUGGUUGGGACAGCGACAUCUCGGCCUUACUGUUACUUCUCUAUCUCCUACCCCCAACGCCAAAAGGCCACAAAAAGGCAGCAAAAAUUAGCCCCCUUCAAGCAGGUGACCAUCUAGUGAGAUUUCUUAAGAUGGGAACCAGCAUUCCAGCUUUUCUGGAGAAGUUUGGAUCCGCACAACCUUUCCUGUUAUGCAUAGGAGAAAAUAAGAAGAGCAUUCAGAGGUUCUUCCUUGUCGUGGACAUGAAAGCAAUUCCGUGCAAGGCUCAGACAUCGGUGGGGGCUUUUGAUGAACUUUUUAAAGCACACUUUGUGUUUAGCACAUCAUACAGUGAAAGUCUGUCAAGCUUCUACAUUUUCAUCCAAACUGCCAUUUACAACAUUGAUGCUGGAACUUCCAAAUAAAAGGCCAAGAGUCAGAGAGUUGCGGGCAAGAUUUCUGAGUGAAAAGAAUUGAUUUUCCUGUGAAGGUAUGGUCAAAGCAUGUUUACCUGUUUUAUCUGUAAAACGCAUCAUCAGAGUUCUUCUCUUCUUUGUCGUCAUCUAAAGUUUCUACAUGGACUUAACCCUGGAAAGCGUUUGCGGUUAUGAUGUGCAGAAUUUGAAUGUUCUUCUGUGUUUGGCACAUAUUCAGGUUUUAAGAAAGAUGAUUUGUAGUACAGGUAACAGGGGACAACUUGGCAAUGACAUACUAACAUUUGAUUUUUUAUUACCACACUUUAUUUAAAUCUCUGUUCCCUGAUAAGAGUCUGUUACCUAAACAGCAUUUUAUGAUGCACUACCCCAGGUGUAUUUGUAAAAUUGAUCCUCUUUUACAUUUGAUUUGAGGCAAAACACAAUUUUUUUUUAAACGGUCAGUAAAAAGUUUUUAAAAUCUCACUAAAACUUUGGUAAAAAUAUUGUGCCAACCUGUCACUUAUUUUAAAACUGCACUUAUUGUUGCAUGUGUUACUGUAUUAAGUGUGUCAAUGAAUGUUAAUAAAUGUCUGUGUUUUCAUAA